AGGAAUUGGCGGGGGAGCACUACAACGGGUGGAGCCUGCGGUUCAAUUGGAUUCAACGCCGGAAAGCUUACCGGGUCAGACAGCAAUAUGAAGGUCAAGCUAAAGACUUUACCGAAUUCGCUGAGAGGAGGUGCAUGGCCGUCGUCAGUUCGUAUCGUGAGACAUCCUGUUAAGUCAGGCAACGAGCAAGACCCGUGCCCACAGUUGCCAGCAUACCCUCCGGGGUGAUGGGCACACUGUGGGGACCGCCGCUGCUAAAGCGGAGGAAGGUGCGGGCUACGGUAGGUCAGUAUGCCCCGAAUCAUCCGGGCUACACGCGGGCUACAAUGGUUGGGACAAUGGGCACCUACACCGAGAGGUGAUGGUAAUCUCCUAAACCCAGCCUUAGUUCGGAUUGAGGGCUGCAACUCGCCCUCAUGAAGCCGGAAUCCGUAGUAAUCGCGUAUCAAUAUCACGCGGUGAAUACGUCCCUGCUCCUUGCACACACCGCCCGUCAAACCAUGCGAGUGAGGUCUGAAUGAGGGCACGCUUUCUGGCGUGUUCGAAUUUGGGCUUCGCGAGUGGGGUUAAGUCGUAACAAGGUAGCCUCAGUCAGUCAA
This 599-nucleotide ribosomal RNA is filed under the name uncultured euryarchaeote. RNAcentral's name for it is "bacterial SSU rRNA". It matches the Rfam family "Archaeal small subunit ribosomal RNA", at positions 860 to 1458 of the family's 1478-position model. The record is from RNAcentral. Lineage: Archaea; Methanobacteriati; Methanobacteriota.